RNAcentral lists this transfer RNA (74 nucleotides) under Treponema sp. Its description in RNAcentral is "tRNA-Arg". It matches the Rfam family "tRNA". From Rfam's summary of the family: Transfer RNA (tRNA) molecules are approximately 80 nucleotides in length. Lineage: Bacteria; Pseudomonadati; Spirochaetota; Spirochaetia; Treponematales; Treponemataceae. The record is from RNAcentral.
GCGCCCGUAGCUCAGCUGGAUAGAGCAACGGACUUCGAAUCCGUAGGUCGCAGGUUCGACUCCUGCCGAGCGCA